RNAcentral lists this non-coding RNA (24 nucleotides) under Gossypium hirsutum (cotton). Lineage: Eukaryota; Viridiplantae; Streptophyta; Magnoliopsida; Malvales; Malvaceae. The record is from RNAcentral.
AAGCCUGAUAUAUGAAUAAAUGAU